GCUCCGAGGCCCGUGGAAUCAGUACCUGGAGGUGCUUGGGAACAAUUGCUGUAAACCACUAAUGGCGCUUCUCACCCUCCAGCUUGCUAGGUGCUACUUCAGCUGUAUUUGAAACCAUUGCAUGGAUGCAAGCCACCACCAACCCUUUCAAAUGUGGUUAUGAACCCUGGUGAGGACAGGCCAUACAGAGCUUGUUGGGCCCCAGUUUAAAAGCAAGUGACUAUCGGCUCCUCCUUUCUCACUUGACCUGCUGCCCGUGUGUGUUCAGAGUCAGAUCGGCUCACUUUCAUGAGUAAAAUGAGUGCUUACUACUUCUCUCUUCCUCAGUACUUUGGUCUUCACCACUGUAGCCUCUGAGCACCUGCUUUAUACGCCUCUUCUCCUUGCAGAACCAACGCAGCAUCGAGAGAGAGAGAGAGAUCCGGAUUCUAGUCUGCAUUGCUCAUGGUCAAAAGAAUUAACGAAACGGUGACGUUAUGGGUAUUGUUUCUUUAAAUCUGUAGCAAUCCGCCAGGCAGCACUGAGGCUUGGGGAGCUUCUAGGCAGAGCUCUACAGUAAAGCAGAAACAGAGGAGCUUUAGGGUUAGCAUUGCGUUGCUUAUUCUAAUAAAGGUCCAUGUUCCGUGUUGGAAGAAAGUGAUGCUCUCUAGGAUUCUUUGCCACUGGCACAUGACGGUGUCCGAGAUAAACUCCUUCUGGAGCAGGAUCAAUAACAGGAAAAGAAAACUGCCAAAGUUCAGCGCUCCCCGGCCCUUUGGGUUUGACAAGCCCCUGGACUGGCCCGAAUGAAAGGAGUUUCACCAAAUCCCGAGCCGCGAUGAAGCUAAACGCAGAGCACAGUGAAGUACAAGGCAGCUCACUGUGAUCAGCGCUGGCACCUCCCGGACUAAGGGUCCAUUUCACUGACUGUGAGAAGCUGGAAAUGUCCCAGUGAUCCUGUAACUGCUGGGAAGUUUCUCCUGGGCUCAUGAGUUACAAUGAAGAUGAGGAUUUCCUUCCACUCGCAUUGUGCAAUGGGCAACCCCUCUCUGUCCAGUUACCUCCUUUUCUUUUUUACGGUCCAUGUUUCUACAUUGGAAUCAGUGAAUUUCAAGGUGAUUGGACCUGAUCAUCCCAUCAUGGCCUCUGUAGGUGAAGAUGCCCUGUUACCCUGUCACCUCUUCCGUAACACAAGUGCUCAGAAGAUGGAGGUGCGCUGGUACCGAUCCAAGUACUCUGAACCUGUCCAUCUGUAUCAGAAUGAAAAAGAUCAGGCUGAGCAGCAAAUACCAAAUUAUCAGGGCAGAACAGAGCUGCUGAAGGAUGGUAUUGUGGAUGGAAGCGUUGUCCUGCGUAUACGCAACAUCACCCCCUCUGACCAUGGGCAGUUUAUCUGUUUCUUCCGAUCAAGCAGAUUUUAUGCGGAAGCCACUCUGGAACUGAAGGUGACAGGGCUACACGCCAUGCCAAACACAAAAGUCACCUGCUGAAUUAUUGCACGGUAGAGAGAUGCAUACUAAAUUAAACAUUGCUGGAUUACAUGGGCCUAUAUCUGAUAUAUCAUUGCUGCCGGAUAUCAGACAAACAGUUCAAUGAAAACCACAAAAAUAUAAGAUGCAGAUAAAUGCUGUGGGGUCAGGGAACUGAAAUUCAAAUGUGGCUUGUUUAUAGAAGUAUGAAAACCUGGAAUGUUAGGAAAAGGAGAACCCAGGUUCACUUCCCCACUGAAAAUUGUUUCUAAAAAGGACUAUGACACUCCGUACCUCAGAGUAGCACUCUGGAACUCCCAUAUUCAUCACUGUCAUAGAAUUAUGAUAUGUUUUGUACGAAGUUUGCCUUGAGAGGUAUCAUGUUAAAAGUCUUGAUCUGUUGAACAUUAAUAUCCUGUUGGAUUGUAUGUGCUAUCAUGGUAUAGGAAGUUAUGAAGUUUUGCUAUGUAUGUGUUACUGAAAUAUGUUGUGAGGUUGGGAACACCCACAACCAACCUUUCAGGUGCAACAAUGGAGGAGGCAGACAGGGGUUAAUGGCUCAUCAACACCCAUCAAGGAAAGGAUCUCAGAAACUGUAUACAAUGGAAACUUCUCAGAGAGAACAUGUAGACAAUGGAGACUGCUUGACCAAUGGAGACUACCUGAUCCCCACACCACAGCAAAGGAUUUUUCCAACAAGCUGGAAGAAACUAUAAAAGAGGGGAAGUGACAUCAUCACUUGGCCUCACUCCCUCCCACAACUCAACACCUGGAAACAUGUUUGGAGGACAAAGACUUUGUAUGUGGGAGGGCGGUUUCAGGCUGGAAAAGAGUCCCAGCCUGUGUAUUGAGGAACUAUCCUAUCCUGUUUAGUUUAUAGAACUCAGAUUGUGAAUUUACUUUUAUUUCUUAGGUAACCAACUUUGAUCUCUACAUUCGCUACCUAUAAUCACUUAAAAUCUAUCUUUCUGUAGUUUAUAUUUUACCUAAAACAGUGUGGUUUGGUUGAAGUGCUUGGGAAAUCUCAGCUCAGUUUACAUCGAAGCAGGGGCAGUCUGGGUAAUGAACUUAUUCUGGUUAGGCUUCUGACCAGGGCAAGAUGGUACAGCUCUGCGGUGCAAGGCUGGGAAGCUGGGGGGAAUUGGCUGGGGAGCUGGGGGGGAAUUGGCUGGAGCCUCCCUAUUGUUGGUUCAUGAAUGACUGGGAGAAGCAUUCAUGUAACUCAGCUGGGUGUGUUGCUGUCUAUGGAUGGCUGUGUAAGGGUAGUGCCUGCCAGGGGUAUGUGGCUUGACACAGCAUCACAGUGUGAGGGGCACCCCAUGUUGGAGGGACAGAGGGCUCAGUGGUCCCACAGUCCAUGUUGCACCCCAGGGACCCCGUCACAAGGACCUCACGCUUACAAGCUGUCAGAUGGUCAGUCUGGAGCACUAUUCAUCUUGCCCCUGCUUACUAAGACAUAGUGCAAUGUUUCAGACUAUCUAACUAGCCCUUUGCUGCUGACAGUACAGGAUAACUGACAGGAUAUUGGGCCUGACAAAUAUGCUGUCAGAGUCUGACAGCCAACUGUAUUGGCUAGAGACUGUGUUCUGUAAUUAUUAAAGGAACAGUCUUCUAUUAUAACUAGAAUUCUAAUUACAGUUACAUAACUACUUCUUAGUUAUUGUUUAUUUGCUAAUUACAUAAUUUAUGUUUAUUAUAGUAGCAGGUUAUUGGAUUAGUAUUACUGCCGUAAGAUUGAGUUUGUUCUAAGACGAGGGAAAUGUGGUGUUGUUAGAUCCAGCAUUGAUUGCUGAGAGCUGUAGUCUUUGUUUAGAAGCCAACAGGAAACAGGAAGUGUAAAUAUGGGUGUUGCUUCAUUGUUGUCGUAAUAAACCUUGUUGGAUUUCA
This is an RNA transcript of Malaclemys terrapin pileata, 3335 nucleotides long. It is a transcript of the gene named myelin-oligodendrocyte glycoprotein-like, with no coding region annotated. The transcript has 5 exons. NCBI's taxonomy places the organism in Eukaryota, Metazoa, Chordata, Testudines, Emydidae. The record is from RefSeq and is a predicted model, not a curated record.